Molecule: ribosomal RNA, 96 nt
Filed under: Metarhizium viridulum
Lineage: Eukaryota; Fungi; Ascomycota; Sordariomycetes; Hypocreales; Clavicipitaceae
Description: partial 28S ribosomal RNA D1 region
Source: RNAcentral
CUCCGGGUCCGAGUUGUAAUUGCAGAGGAUGCUUCGGGUGCGGCCCCUGUCUAAGUCUUGGGCAGGGUGCCCGUGCCCGUGUGAAGCUCCUUCGAC